Long non-coding RNA from Melitaea cinxia (Glanville fritillary), 541 nucleotides. RefSeq lists it as uncharacterized. The transcript is spliced from 2 exons. NCBI's taxonomy places the organism in Eukaryota, Metazoa, Arthropoda, Insecta, Lepidoptera, Nymphalidae. The record is from RefSeq and is a predicted model, not a curated record.
CUUAGAUUUCCUGCAAAGGAGAGCUCUGGCGAUGGAGAGUGUCAGCAACAAUGGCCACCAUCAACAGCAAUCAUCGGGCCACCAGGUGAAGUCAACCCAUUCAAGGCCAGCGGUAGUCAAUGUGUCAACUACGUCACAAGUAUGCGUCUACUGUAAUCUAAGUGCUAUUGCCGGAACAGCUACACAGCAUCGAGAGUCCUAUACCUAGUGCUCCUGUUCCAGGUCUCAUCAACACACAAUUCGGUCAUAUAAUUGGGGGUAAUAUACCCACCCAUAAACCUAAAAGGCAGGUAACACUUUUAUGUACUACUUGCGACUCAAGCAUAGAUGUAGCUCUAAAGCAAUUUUGGAGAACAGAAGAAGUCCCACAAACAUUUAAUGAAAGCUUGCCAGAGCAUGAUCUAUGUGAGGAUGUCUUUAAAAAAUCUGUUCAAUUAAAAAAUCAACAAUUUCAAGUGGAUUUACCCUUAAAAAUACCACUUGAUCAAGUAAAUGAGCACUUAGGUGAUUCAUUUAAUUUAGCUCUGAAUAGGUUUACAAA